AUGAGCAAGCGUUUGGCGACAGUAGGAAGGAAAAACUCCCUUUUAACAGGAAGAAAUCUCUGGCAGAACCAUGCUCAGGAAGGAGCAGCCAUCUUCGACGACUUCAGCAUUAAGACUGUUUUAAACACUGGUUUUCUACUCUUGGUUCUGUAUAAGAUCAGAUCAGUCACAGGCCUAGCAACAAUGGUUGCUAUGGAAAACUGUAUAUUAUAAAAGGCUGGGAAGUUGUUGAUCUCUAUGUGAAACCAAUCGGCCAAACGAUGGAUAGCAUUCGCCUGCUCCCUGCAAUUAACACAUUUUAAAAGGUGCAACUUUUAUUUUGAAGGUCAACAGUCUAAGUCUCACUACUUGCACCUAGCUCUUUGAUCGCUGGAAACCAAUUAUCAACCACUCAGGGAAUUCACUUUUCCCUAGCAUUUUUUGUUGCCAGGGUGUUGCUGACCAGUCUGUAGGUCUGUUUGUCUAAGGCCUAAGAUACACGGCCCCACCCACCUGCUAUUUAAAACUUCUGUUUGCACUCAGGAGCCAAUAAUAAGAAAGUUAGCUUGUUCUCUUGAAAGAAGAUGUGCUAAAAGAGCUCACUUCACACAGAAAAUGAACUGAAGAACUGUAUCAAGGUCCAGUAAAAACAAAUUAGGAGUAUUUUUAACUUAGAAUAAUGCAAAGCUGCCCUAGUAUUUACAGUCUACUAGGCAGUGGACAAAAAGCGCUGGAAAUAAGCAGAACUUUAAUGACUGACUGUUGUACUGGCAGGGAGUUCACAAGUGUGUCAAGUGACAAGGGAUCAAUAAAGUCUUUUCAAUUUUAUCUUAAUACAUAAGAUAUCAUGAUUUAUUUGUUCAUUUGUUGAUUGCCUUUUGUACUAUUAACCUAAACCUAUUUCCCUGUUUUAGUGGGGUAGAAGUAAAACCAGAAAUAAUGUCCUCUCUACCCUAUUAAAGGAAAACUCUUCCAGGCACAAAUCGUUUUUAAAAUCAUCAUCAAAAACAUCAACAGAAGGCUCAAAAAUCCCAAAGCAGCUGCGCGGUUGGCAGUCUUUCAGACGUGCUACCUCUGAUGCUGAAAUAUUCCAUACGGUUUCCCACUAUACAUCCUGGCCAACUGCGAGAAUAACAAAGCACUUCCUUUUAUUAUUAUUUUUUUUAUUAUUCCCGUUCACUUAGAAUCUGCCAACGGGAUCACCGUGUCCAGGGAAGCUCUGGCAGAGUGGCGGGCACAAUACGGGUGUACGCCACAUGCCACAUGGCAAAUAAUGAGAAUCAUCCAUUUCAUUAAAGAAGAUUGCCUCCACACUGAACAUGGAAUCAAUCAAAACCAUAAACAGCUAGAAGCCUGGCCUACGCCUGCUCACCCACUGGGAUCUCUACUAUCUGUAGUGUGAGGAUUCUGGAUUUCUGGUUUUAAAAAAAGCCAGUAUGAUAACAAACAUUCAAAUAGUUUGUGCAUUAUCAUGGAAGUGUCUCAUUGGCCUGAAAGUCAAGCAAAGUUGAAGAACUAUUGCUGGCCAGACAAAGAGCAAGCAGUCCUGCUGCAUCAUGGAGUCACUCUGGGAUCGCAUUAAGAGAUAAAGCUGAGAGAGCAUAAAUCCACAAAAGAACUGAGGCAAGUUUUCUGAGUUGCUUGGAACAAACUACAUGCAUCACCAUGAAAAACUGUGGGAACCUAUAACAGAGUUGGUUUUAUUUUAAAAGUAAAGAUAUAGCAACUUUACUGCACUUUGUCUGACGUUAACCUAUAAAUAACACUGCCUCAGUUUUCUUUUAGUCUUUCUUUUAGUACUCCCGCACAGUACUCUGUAGAAGCACAUCCUCUGAAGAAUGAGAUACUCGUGUUUUAUGUGUUUAGCUAGCACAGCCUGGAACAGACCACCAUGUUUUUACGCUUCAUCCACAACCUUUAAUACUGUUCCUGAUGUUAAAGUCUGAAGUAAUCCUGAUUAUGAGCCAAAAAACCCCAUAAAAAUCUCAGGCUUCAUCUUCCACUAAAUGACUUGUGAAUGCUUGCUUUCUGACAGGUUUUUCUAAACCUGGCUCUGUAUGAUGUCAGUCUCAGAUGUGGCCUCUCAAGCAUACAACUCUGUCUAAAAUGACCUCUCAGGCACACACGUGAGGCAACGAAUAAAAAAUACAGAGCUGGAAACGAGUGCACGGAGCAUUAUGUAGUGUUCGGUAUUUUUAUAUCAGAAAUAGAUUAAAUAACUUGUUCGAACUGCAACUCAAGGAACUGUACCGUGUCUUUAGGAUCCUUUAGCCCACUGGUUUCAUUUUAAGGCUUUUGGGUGCUCUCGUCAAACUCCAAACUCCACCCUCACAGACAUACGUGUCGCAUCAAAACAGAGGCAACAAGAGGGUGUAGACUGGACUUACAUUCAUUGUCAGAUUGUGAUACAUAUAAAAAAAAUAACACUUGGGAGACAGACACCUUUACAUUUAAUAUUCUGGUUAAAAGUUUGCGUCUUCAUAAAGCUUAUAGUUAAACUUGGAUCAGGGGACUCUGAACCAUCCUGUGCGUUAGGCUCAGGCUGCUGAGGGACUUCCCAUGAUGCACUGAGCACUUGUUCUAAUACUGAAUACCAUUUAAUUUUGUCUUCUUCCUCUGUGUCCCCAUACUCUCCUUUCAUUUCUUCUCCUUCCUCUUACACCCCAGCCAGUUGCAACAGAUGGCUGCCCCUCCCCAAGCCUGGUUCUGCUGGACGUCUCUUCCUGUUCAAACACACAGGAAGUAUAAAGCCAAGUGAAUCUGCUCACUGGGAAUGCAGCAGGAUCAAAGUAAGCAAGUUAAUGGAGUUACACACUGCCAUCUUAUUCUUCGUGCUCUUUAAGUCCAAUUCAGCAUUUCCAGCUUCUCUCUAAUUUAUUAUUACAUCAUACAAAACAAGUAAAUUAAGAGCCAGUUAUACCAUUUGGCUCCCUUUUUGUGGCAUUCCUAACUUCUGAAAAGCUGCAGCAAAACGUGACUAUUUUAAAGCACCUGAAACACACACAGAAAACAGCAUUUAAUUUCACAAAAAUGUCAAAAUGACUUGUACUCCGUCUGCAAUAUGACAAUUCUCGUGUGUUUUUGAGACACUCAGAGCAGGCUUCCUGCAGCGCAAAGACACCGCAGAGGCCAAUAGUAGCAAUCCAUCAGAGUCAGGCUGCAUCAAACUGAUUGCUCUAUAUGACCCAGUAGUGAUGUGACAGCAGUAGUACUGACAGUGAGGGGGCGGCCGCUAGUGACAGGCCGGCCUCCUGGACUGGUCCAUUUAGUCCCACACCAGCAGUGACCCUGAAACAGCAUCCGCUGGCCUCACACUCCACUGCACAAACAGCUGAAGUGCAUCCUCUGUAGGAAUCAUCUCAAACUAACCUCAUCCAGCAAAGAUGAGCAAAAGGCCUACACACUAACGCUUUCCCAGUCUGCUCCUAUCGACCAGCAGGACGCCGGGAUGGUGUCAGGCCCCACUCGCAGCACAGGGCCGUUUGAUGAUGACUGCCUCCGACCUCUGGCCCAUCAAUAUAUCGAUCGCAGCUCCACAGAACAAACCUCCAUUAUUUACCACUUGUGCUAGAGCAAAAACAUCCGAGGCUUGGGAGUCAAUUUACUGAAUAUUAAUGAAAAGGUGCAUUUUUUUCCACCAUUUCUGACAAAUGAGUGACAAUUCUGCAUGUAUUUCUACAUACAGCGUCAAUGACAUUCGUAGGUAACAAUUUGUUUUAAUGUUAUUUUAAUAUGCAUUAGUUAAUAAGUAAUAAGGUGGUUGUAAAUGUGUGACUAAAUCAUUGUUAAAUCUAUACUAAACUUCCUUUAGUUGCAAUCUAUAUCCUUAACACCAGGACACAGAUGCAGUUUUUA
This is a long non-coding RNA of Oreochromis niloticus (Nile tilapia), 3834 nucleotides long. RefSeq lists it as uncharacterized. The transcript has 4 exons. NCBI's taxonomy places the organism in Eukaryota, Metazoa, Chordata, Actinopteri, Cichliformes, Cichlidae. The record is from RefSeq and is a predicted model, not a curated record.